AUGGUGAACCUAGCAGCCAUGGUGUGGCGCCGGCUUCUGCGGAAGAGGUGGGUUCUCGUCCUGGUCUUUGGGCUGUCGCUUGUCUACUUCCUCAGCACCACCUCCAGGCAGGAGGAGAGGGCAGUGAGAGAGAGGAAUCCCCUGCAGGUUCAAGACCAUGAUCAGCCCAUCCCGUGGAAAGUGUAGUUUAACUUGGGCAAUAGCAGUCGUCCCAGCAAUCAGUGCCACAACUCCAUUCAAGGGAAACACCUCAUCACGGAUGAACUCAGCUACGUUUGUGAGAGGAAGGAUUUGCUGGUGAAUGGCUGCUGUAACGUCAACGUCCCUAGCACAAAGCAGUACUGCUGCGAUGGCUGCUGGCCAAAUGGCUGCUGAGUACUGUGUCUCCUGCUGCCUGCAGCCCAGCAAGCAACUUCUCCUGGAGCACUUCCUCAAUCAAGCAGCUGUGGCAUUCCAGAACCUCUCCAUGGCAGUCAAAGAUCACUUGGAAUUGUGCCUGGUCAAAUGCAGGACCUCAUCCCAGAGACUGCAGCAUGAGAACACCUACUGGGACCCCAUAGCAAAGUACUCCUACUGAGAAAGCCUGCCAGAGCUCUUCCCUGC
This 603-nucleotide long non-coding RNA is filed under the name Homo sapiens (human). RNAcentral's name for it is "non-protein coding lnc-RBMX2-4:1". Lineage: Eukaryota; Metazoa; Chordata; Mammalia; Primates; Hominidae. The record is from RNAcentral.